This is a non-coding RNA of Pan troglodytes (chimpanzee), 148 nucleotides long. It matches the Rfam family "Metazoan signal recognition particle RNA". Rfam says of the family: The signal recognition particle (SRP) is a universally conserved ribonucleoprotein. It is involved in the co-translational targeting of proteins to membranes. Lineage: Eukaryota; Metazoa; Chordata; Mammalia; Primates; Hominidae. The record is from Rfam.
GCCGGGCGUGGUGGUGCAUGCCUGUAAUCCCAGCUACACGGGAGGCUGAGGUGGAAGGAUUGGUUGAGCCCGGGAUGUGGAGGUUGCAGUGAGCUGAGGUGGCAUCACUGCGCUCCAGCCUGGGCAAUAGAACGAGACUCCAUCUCUA